RNAcentral lists this non-coding RNA (30 nucleotides) under Mus musculus (house mouse). The record is from RNAcentral. Lineage: Eukaryota; Metazoa; Chordata; Mammalia; Rodentia; Muridae.
UUCUGAAGCCUGUUAGGAUUACUGUGUGUA